AUUGAACGCUGGCGGCAUGCCUAACACAUGCAAGUCGAACGGUAACAGGCCCUUCGGGGCGCUGACGAGCGGCGGACGGGUGAGUAAUGCUUAGGAAUCUGCCUAGUAGUGGGGGAUAACCCGGGGAAACUCGGGCUAAUACCGCAUACGUCCUACGGGAGAAAGCGGGGGACCUUUGGGCCUCGCGCUAUUAGAUGAGCCUAAGUCCGAUUAGCUAGUUGGUGGGGUAACGGCCUACCAAGGCGACGANCGGUAGCUGGUCUGAGAGGACGACCAGCCACACUGGGACUGAGACACGGCCCAGACUCCUACGGGAGGCAGCAGUGGGGAAUCUUGCGCAAUGGGCGAAAGCCUGACGCAGCGACGCCGCGUG
This 373-nucleotide ribosomal RNA is filed under the name uncultured bacterium. RNAcentral describes it as "bacterial SSU rRNA". It matches the Rfam family "Bacterial small subunit ribosomal RNA", at positions 29 to 403 of the family's 1533-position model. The record is from RNAcentral.